Molecule: ribosomal RNA, 492 nt
Filed under: uncultured bacterium
Lineage: Bacteria
Description: partial 16S ribosomal RNA
Rfam family: Bacterial small subunit ribosomal RNA
Source: RNAcentral
AGUGAACGCUGGCGGUAGGCCUAACACAUGCAAGUCGAACGGCAGCACAGUAAGAGCUUGCUCUUACGGGUGGCGAGUGGCGGACGGGUGAGGAAUACAUCGGAAUCUACUUUUUCGUGGGGGAUAACGUAGGGAAACUUACGCUAAUACCGCAUACGACCUACGGGUGAAAGCAGGGGAUCUUCGGACCUUGCGCGAUUGAAUGAGCCGAUGUCGGAUUAGCUAGUUGGCGGGGUAAAGGCCCACCAAGGCGACGAUCCGUAGCUGGUCUGAGAGGAUGAUGAGGCACACUGGAACUGAGACACGGUCCAGACUCCUACGGGAGGCAGCAGUGGGGAAUAUUGGACAAUGGGCGCAAGCCUGAUCCAGCCAUACCGCGUGGGUGAAGAAGGCCUUCGGGUUGUAAAGCCCUUUUGUUGGGAAAGAAAAGCAGCAGGUUAAUACCCCGCUGUUCUGACGGUACCCAAAGAAUAAGCACGGGCUAACUUCGUG